GAUCAUGGCUCAGGAUGAACGCUAGCUACAGGCUUAACACAUGCAAGUCGAGGGGCAGCAUGAACUUAGCUUGCUAAGUUUGAUGGCGACCGGCGCACGGGUGAGUAACACGUAUCCAACCUUCCCGUUACUCUGGAAUAGCCUUUCGAAAGAAAGAUUAAUACCGGAUAGUAUCGAGAGAUUGCAUGAUUACCCGAUUAAAGAUUCAUCGGUAACGGAUGGGGAUGCGUUCCAUUAGG
RNAcentral lists this ribosomal RNA (239 nucleotides) under uncultured bacterium. RNAcentral's name for it is "partial 16S ribosomal RNA". It matches the Rfam family "Bacterial small subunit ribosomal RNA", at positions 15 to 245 of the family's 1533-position model. The record is from RNAcentral.